Molecule: long non-coding RNA, 1572 nt
Organism: Dromaius novaehollandiae (emu)
Lineage: Eukaryota; Metazoa; Chordata; Aves; Casuariiformes; Dromaiidae
Source: Ensembl
AUGAAAAACAAGCGAGUUCCAAGACUGCAGAACCAUCACGGAUGUGCGUGUACACUUGGGUGGUGUGCUGCCUCUGAAAGGGACAUUUGGUCACCUCCAAAUUGUCACAUAGCUGUCUUUGCUGGGCUCGUCUCUCUUCCCUGUUGCCCACCCGGCCGAAGGGUCUGCAACAGCUUACAUCCCAGACUAGUCUUCAUGCCAGCACUGCACAGUCCCUGGGCUGAGGCAUUUCCCCCAUUUCCUUGCACUAGCAUGGGAGGUCUGUCUUAACGAACCCUCAAACUGGUCUGCAGAGCAUUCUCAAGUAGGAUGCACACCUAAAGCAUUAAACUCAGUGGUGUGUAGCCUGGAGCAGAGAAGGUAAGCUAUGUUACCGGGGGCUCUGCUUUACAGAGAAUUCCUGACACUGGACAGGUCCUCUCAGAUGCUGGGGAGGUUCGGGGAAAGGAGGUUUUCCUCAGUUGCCUCCAGUGCUUGGGCACACGCAGGAAGGACUGAUGGCUGCUGGUCCUGGGUUUGCUGCCCACGUUCCUUAAAGCAGUGGAUGCUGGCAGGCACGUAGGACAGGCGGAAACUGAGUCAUGGCCUGAGCAGGGAGCUUUAGUGCCAGCAUUUUCCUUGGAGAUGUGCAGAUGCCUUGUGGGUGGAACGCCCCGUGCCACCUGCCCAGCUCCUUUUCUGCAGGACAUUCAUACAAGCUGCUGCAAUGUUUUGCCUGUAGGGAAUACGCUGUGUUUGCACAGUCGAGGUGUGGGGGGAGGGGGGAUUUUUACAGCCACAGAGAGCAUGCAUAUGGGCAUGCAUCAGGGGGCCUGGAUGUUGAACAGCUUGCCAUUUAAAUGCACACGCGUGCAAGCUAAUCUGCUCAGUAAUGGCUAGCUGAGCGGACAGAGCUGCAUAUUCUCUGGAGAUAAGAAAGCUCCACUCCUAGUUUCCUGACAAAAUUUCUCUAAAAACAAACAUCAUGAGAGCAGACAAGGCCUCCUCCUGGGAGCACAUACUAACUGCUCCUCAUGUCUCUCUUACUUUACAUAUGAGGAUACUUACGUGUAACUACUUCCACAUGAACUGCAUCCUUGAAUUAUUGCUUUUUAAUGACAUUGCUCAUUCCAAGUGAUGCUACUUUUGUACACUCACCAGUAUCCCAUGGAGUGUUGCAGGCAGUAAUUUGCUGCUUUAUGAGAGUCCCAUGUCUUCCAACUACCUCAUCAUCCUGAAGAUGAGUUAGGAAAUCAGCUUUCCACCUCAAUUCAUGUUCUAAAUGGCAUUGUUUCAAGGAAAGGCAGACUGGAAAGCUUUCACAAACACCAUGCUGCAAAAGAUCGCUACAGAGCUUCCCACACUUACAGGGCUACGGCUGUGAAAUAUGGCUGUACACUGUUAUCUGGGUAAUAGCAUAUCCAAGGCUUUUGCAGCUAUUGUGGUGAAGUAGCACCAGGACACGGUGCUAGAAGCAUUACAGAGGUCAGUGCAGCCAGCAUUAGGCUAAGGCAAAUGGAUUAAUAUACUCUCAGUAUAACUCAGUGCUAAGAUCCCAUAGAGUACUGUAAUAAAGUGGUACCAGGGCAGCCA